CUUGACUCUAGUCUGGCACUGUAAGGAGACAUGAGAGGUGUAGCAUAAGUGGGAGACUCCUUACGGUGUCGACAGUGAAAUACCACUACUUUCAUCGUUUCCUUACUUACUUGGUGAGGCGGAAAGCGUGCAUGGUUCCCUGUGUUCCAUGCACGGUAUUCUGGAACCACGACCGUGAUGGUCACAACUUAUCCCGGUUAAUCCGAUCCAAGGACACUGCCAGGCCGGGAGUUUGACUGGGGCGGUACAUCUGUCAAAGAAUAACGCAGGUGUCCUAAGGCCAGCUCAGCGAGGACAGAAACCUCGCGUAGAGCAAAAGGGCAAAAGCUGGCUUGAUCCCGAUGUUCAGUAAGCAUAGGGACUGCGAAAGCACGGCCCAUCGAUCCUUUUGACUUGAAGAGUUUUCAGCAAGAGGUGUCAGAAAAGUUACCACAGGGA
The sequence is a ribosomal RNA, 438 nucleotides long. It matches the Rfam family "Eukaryotic large subunit ribosomal RNA", at positions 2421 to 2826 of the family's 3401-position model.